UGCAGAGGUCUCAAGCGUUGUUCGGAUUCAUUGGGCGUAAAGGGUGCGUAGGCGGCGCGGUAAGUCGGGUGUGAAAUCUUGGAGCUUAACUCCGAAACUGCAUUCGAUACUGCCGUGCUUGAGGACUGGAGAGGAGACUGGAAUUUACGGUGUAGCGGUGAAAUGCGUAGAUAUCGUAAGGAAGACCAGUGGCGAAGGCGGGUCUCUGGACAGUUCCUGACGCUGAGGCACGAAGGUCAGGGGAGCAAACGGG
RNAcentral lists this ribosomal RNA (253 nucleotides) under uncultured bacterium. RNAcentral describes it as "partial 16S ribosomal RNA". It matches the Rfam family "Bacterial small subunit ribosomal RNA", at positions 524 to 776 of the family's 1533-position model. The record is from RNAcentral.